This 74-nucleotide transfer RNA is filed under the name Candidatus Coxiella mudrowiae. RNAcentral's name for it is "tRNA-Gly". It matches the Rfam family "tRNA". From Rfam's summary of the family: Transfer RNA (tRNA) molecules are approximately 80 nucleotides in length. Their secondary structure includes four short double-helical elements and three loops (D, anti-codon, and T loops). The record is from RNAcentral. Lineage: Bacteria; Pseudomonadati; Pseudomonadota; Gammaproteobacteria; Legionellales; Coxiellaceae.
GCGGGUGUAGUUCAAUGGUAGAACUUCAGCUUUCCAAGCUGAUAGCGUGGGUUCGAUUCCCAUCACCCGCUCCG